UAUUAAAGCACACUUACGCAUAUUUGUUGGUAUUUUUUUCGCAAAGAAGUUAAGCAUGCUUUGGGUCCAGUUCAAGUCAAGGUUUGAGACAAUGCAAAUGAGCCGAACUCUUCCCUGACUGCAGUGGUUUGGAAGGUGCCUCAGUCCCCUACCUUUAGCCCCAUCUGUCCUAUAUUGUCCACUAAAUGUUUUUCCUUGCAGCUUCACCUCCUCAACGAACGUCGACUACGGAGAGUUCCUGGUGAGCGUCAACGGUUUGUUUGGGAACGAUGUGUGUGUAUCUACGAUAAAUGAUCUUCU
RNAcentral lists this long non-coding RNA (300 nucleotides) under Gadus morhua (Atlantic cod). RNAcentral's name for it is "lncRNA (ENSGMOG00000031871.1)". The record is from RNAcentral. Lineage: Eukaryota; Metazoa; Chordata; Actinopteri; Gadiformes; Gadidae.